UAAGUGGAAGAUAUGUCAUAUCAUAAGCCUUAAAAAAAGCCAUCGAUGCAGGUCAGACAAGGUGGUAAGGUAGAAGGAAGUCAUACAGUCCUGCCAAUCCCCUUUCUCCCACAGAAUUAUAAGAAGAAUGUUAUGAAGAUGGAGGAAUAACUAGGGAGCAAUGCCGUUUUACCAUGAAAAUCCUCCCUGACCAAGAGUAAUAUAUCACCACAAAACAAAUACAGGAGUGAAGGAAUCAACAAAGAGACAGAGUGAAACAACCCUCAAAAGAGGAGAAACCCAAAAGGGAGGAUGAUCAUAGGAGUUCCUUGAAACUUCAUGAGCAUAAAUGGAGACCCCUGCAAGCAGAGAAUUAUUGCAGAUCUAUCAGUGCUCCCAGACUGCCAGUUGGUAGUCUGUUACAUGACAGGAUGUCCCAGUACAGCUCAGGUGAAACCAGAUCUGGCCCAACCUUGCUCCUGCAACACAGAAUUCUACCUAGGUAAGGAACCAACAAUAAACUAGACUCUAUAUUUGAAAAAUUAAGUGGAUUCCUGAAUUUCAUUUAGU
This 549-nucleotide long non-coding RNA is filed under the name Monodelphis domestica (gray short-tailed opossum). RNAcentral's name for it is "lncRNA (ENSMODG00000034293.2)". The record is from RNAcentral. Lineage: Eukaryota; Metazoa; Chordata; Mammalia; Didelphimorphia; Didelphidae.